CAGUCGCCGCGGUAAUACGAGGGGGGCAAGCGUUGUUCGGAUUUAUUGGGCGUAAAGGGUGCGUGGGCGGUUUGGCGAGUCUUGUGUGAAAUCUUCGGGCUCAACCCGAAGCCUGCACGAGAAACUACCAGGCUUGAGUAUUGGAGAGGUGAGUGGAAUUUCCGGUGUAGCGGUGAAAUGCGUAGAUAUCGGAAGGAACACCUGUGGCGAAAGCGGCUCACUGGACCAUUUCUGACGCUGAUGCACGAAAGCUUGGGGAGCAAACAGGAUUAGAUACCCGCGUAGUCCCUGUCUCUUAUAC
RNAcentral lists this ribosomal RNA (301 nucleotides) under uncultured bacterium. RNAcentral describes it as "partial 16S ribosomal RNA". It matches the Rfam family "Bacterial small subunit ribosomal RNA", at positions 509 to 807 of the family's 1533-position model. The record is from RNAcentral.